UUGGAGGGCAAGUCUGGUGCCAGCAGCCGCGGUAAUUCCAGCUCCAAUAGCGUAUAUUAAAGUUGUUGCAGUUAAAAAGCUCGUAGUUGAAUUUCGGAGUUUGUCGGUUGGUCGGGCUUCACUGUUCGCACUGGCCUGAUGGAUUCCUACCUUCUGAAUAACCAGCAUGCUAUUAAUUUAGUGCGUUGGGGAAGCAGAGCUAUUACCUUGAAAAAAUUAGAGUGCUUAAAGCAGGCUUACGCUUGAAUAGAUUAGCAUGGAAUAAUAAAAUAGGACGGCAUGGUUCUAUUUUGUUGGUUUCUAGGAUCACCGUAAUGAUUAAUAGGGAUAGUUGGGGGCAUUAGUAUUCAAUUGUCAGAGGUGAAAUUCUUGGAUUUAUUGAAGACUAACUUCUGCGAAAGCAUUUGCCAAGGAUGUUUUCAUUAAUCAAGAACGAAAGUUAGGGGACCGAAGACGAUCAGAUACCGUCGUAGUCUUAACCAUAAACUAUGCCGACUAGGGAUCGGACGAUGCUAAUUUUUUAAUGACUCGUUCGGCGCCUUACGGGAAAC
RNAcentral lists this ribosomal RNA (551 nucleotides) under uncultured Glomeromycotina. RNAcentral's name for it is "SSU rRNA". It matches the Rfam family "Eukaryotic small subunit ribosomal RNA", at positions 548 to 1098 of the family's 1831-position model. Lineage: Eukaryota; Fungi; Glomeromycota. The record is from RNAcentral.